UACGUAGGCAGCAAGCGUUGUUCGGAGUUACUGGGCGUAAAGGGUGCGUAGGUGGCUCUAUAAGUAUGGUGUGAAAUCUCCCGCUUAACUGGGAGGGUGCGCCGUAGACUGUGGGGCUAGAGUGUGGGAGAGGAAAGUGGAAUUCCUGGUGUAGCGGUGAAAUGCGUAGAUAUCAGGAGGAACACCGGUGGUGUAAACGGCUUUCUGGACCAUAACUGACACUGAGGCACGAAAGCGUGGGUAGCAAACAGG
This 252-nucleotide ribosomal RNA is filed under the name uncultured bacterium. RNAcentral's name for it is "partial 16S ribosomal RNA". It matches the Rfam family "Bacterial small subunit ribosomal RNA", at positions 524 to 776 of the family's 1533-position model. The record is from RNAcentral.